GAAUUUUAGGAUAGAUUUUUCUAUUUGUGCAAAAAACAUCAUUGGAAUUUUUACCUCCUUGAGUUCUCCGCCACCAACUUCCAUAACCAUCAGGAUAUUCUGCAACUUCUGCAAGAGUAACAAUUUUACCUUACACUGUAUUUGUCUCAUGUGGUUUAAAACAUCCAGAAAUCAUUGAUAAACUGACCCUGCCCAAACUAAAGCAUGGUGAGUUAUAAAAGAUGGUCGCUGUUAAGUGGGGAGGGAUUGCAGGUUGAACUUAAUUUUAUAAGUGGUCAAUUUAUUACAAUAUAUUGUUCUAUUAUCUAUUUCACUUCUUUUUUAAAAAAAGUGGUAUUUGAGAGCACUUAGAUAAUAAAAAGUUGAGAAGAUAACGAACUGAUAUACUCUGUAAGCUUGAAAUGUUUUCAAGCAUAAGAUACAAUAAGAACUAAACUAAGAAAUGGCAGAGGAAAUAGAGAUAAGAGGAUGAAAUUGCAAAACUGAAUCUAUAAUAAUAUCUCAAUGGCUAGCGCUGUGGUGCCAAGAAGGUGGUGAAGUCAAAGAAUUCGUAAAGAUGAUAAUAGACUGCAAAGAAAAAAGACUGAAAUUUUUGUAGAGAGAAUUUUUACAGCGAUAUUACAGAUAGAGAACAGGGAAGAGAAGUUGGAGUGAGAGACUAUCUUCUUAAAUUACUUCCACUGUAGAGAACAAAAAACCAAUUUGCUGAAAUCUUUAUUCCCUUCUAUGACCCUGUGGAAGAUCAAGAUUUGGCCACCCUGAAAUCUAUCUCUUUACCUUGGUUGUUUUCUCUGAGGGCAUUUGACCUCCCCCACUAACUGCCUAAAGAAUUUAAAACAAAACAUCUGUUUCAGGAAGGAGUUAUUAUCAUGAUGGCUGUAAAUAUAAUGUACAAUAGAUGUUACAAUAGAAAAGACACCAACAAGCCCAUCUUAUCAGAAGUUCUGUCUCUGACCAUAUUCUUUGGAUGGCCCUGCAAGGAGUUGCCAGACAGACAUUUACAUUUAUAAGGGAAAUCUCCAUUUGUAAAGGGCAAAUAAGCUCAUCUGAAACCUCAGCUGCCCAGCCUGUGAAAUAAGGCUGGCCAUCCAUUCUCACAGAGGAGCCAACUGGAGGUAGGAUUUUUGCUUCUGACUUCAGCUAAACAUCUUCAAAGAAUUUUAUCUGCCCUUCCUUAUCCAGGGCUAUCAGUGAAGGGCUGGCUGGCUUUUAGAGAAGACCAAUUCACAGUCAGCUGAGACAUUUUUUGUUGGGCUCUCUAGAGAAGGCUGUGGGGUUUGUCAGUAAGAGUUUAUAUCUAUAUGGGUUAUAUAUUUUUAUUUUAUUCAGAGAUUUAUGAAGAAAUUUACAUGGUAAGUAUUACUUAUUAUCAAGAAAAAUGGUUGUGUAUUCUCUGGUCAUUUAAGCAAAAUCCUCCUUUCAGGGUCCACCCAUAGACAAAGCCCAGAUUUAAUCUCUGUGGGAGAUCAAGAUUUGGCCACCCUGAAAUCUGUCUCUUUACCUUGGUUGUUUUCUCUAGGGACAUUUGACCUCCCCCACUAACUGCCUAAAGAAUUUGACAUGGUGGCUCCUUCCUAGAACAGAUCUAUCAUGACUGCUAUAAAGAUAAUGCAGGAUAGAGGUUACAAUAGAAAACGCACCAACAAGCCCAUCUUAUCGGGAGUUCUGUCUCUCUGGCCACAUUCUUUGGAUGGCCCUGCAAGGAGUUGCCAAACAAUCAUUUACAAGGGAAGUCUCCAUUUGUAAAGGUAUCUCCCUCUCUGUAUUGGGAAGAGAGGGGGAUGAGCUCAUUUCUAGUGACUUAUCAAUGUGGAAGGUGAGGCCUUGAGCUACAUAAUAAACCUUACUCUUGUUUACUGUGCUUUAGUGGUAAUUUCCUGUAACUGACUCCCCCCACCCCCAAAAUCCUCCUUUGUCAUUGGCUGAAAAUUGUAUUUAAGACGAGAAUUUCUGCUAUUGUGUUGAGAAACGCAGUGUCCCUGCUUUCUCCCAUGUAUACAUGUUAUUAAACUUGGUAUUAUUUUCU
Diceros bicornis minor is the source of this 2026-nucleotide long non-coding RNA. RefSeq lists it as uncharacterized. The record is from RefSeq and is a predicted model, not a curated record. The transcript is spliced from 3 exons. Lineage: Eukaryota; Metazoa; Chordata; Mammalia; Perissodactyla; Rhinocerotidae.